This 447-nucleotide ribosomal RNA is filed under the name uncultured bacterium. RNAcentral describes it as "partial 16S ribosomal RNA". It matches the Rfam family "Bacterial small subunit ribosomal RNA", at positions 330 to 793 of the family's 1533-position model. The record is from RNAcentral.
CCCAGACUCCUACGGGAGGCAGCAGUGGGGGAUAUUGCACAAUGGGGGGAGCCCUGAUGCAGCGACGCCGCGUGGGUGAAGGAGCGUUUCGGCGCGUAAAGCCCUAUCGGCAGGGAAGAAGGAGGACGGUACCUGACUAAGAAGCCCCGGCUAACUACGUGCCAGCAGCCGCGGUAAUACGUAGGGGGCAAGCGUUAUCCGGAUUUACUGGGUGUAAAGGGGGCGCAGACGGCAGCGCAAGCCAGGAGUGAAAGCCCGGGGCCCAACCCCGGGACUGCUCUUGGAACUGCGCGGCUGGAGUGCAGGAGGGGCAGGCGGAAUUCCUGGUGUAGCGGUGAAAUGCGUAGAUAUCAGGAGGAACACCGGUGGCGAAGGCGGCCUGCUGGACUGCGACUGACGUUGAGGCCCGAAAGCGUGGGGAGCAAACAGGAUUAGAUACCCUGGUAC